GAUGAACGCUGGCGGCGUGCUUAACACAUGCAAGUCGAACGAUGAAGCCCAGCUUGCUGGGUGGAUUAGUGGCGAACGGGUGAGUAACACGUGAGUAACCUGCCCUUAACUCUGGGAUAAGCCUGGGAAACUGGGUCUAAUACCGGAUAGGAGCGUCCACCGCAUGGUGGGUGUUGGAAAGAUUUAUCGGUUUUGGAUGGACUCGCGGCCUAUCAGCUUGUUGGUGAGGUAAUGGCUCACCAAGGCGACGACGGGUAGCCGGCCUGAGAGGGUGACCGGCCAAAUGGGUGCGAAGAUGCGGCCGGGACGAAAACGGGAGGCAGCAGUGGGGGAGAGGGCACGAUGGGCGGACGCCGGAUGAAGCAACGCCGCGUGCGGGAUGACGACAUUCGGGUGAUAAACCGAUGAAGCCUGUGACGAAGCGGGAGUGGAGGUAGUGGGUAAAGAGGGAAAGGCUAACUACGAG
RNAcentral lists this ribosomal RNA (466 nucleotides) under uncultured bacterium. Its description in RNAcentral is "partial 16S ribosomal RNA". It matches the Rfam family "Bacterial small subunit ribosomal RNA", at positions 28 to 507 of the family's 1533-position model. The record is from RNAcentral.